AGCGAACGCUGGCGGCGUGCUUAACACAUGCAAGUCGAGCGAGAAAGGGGGCUUCGGCCCCUGAGUACAGCGGCGAACGGGUGCGUAAUACAUGAGCAAUCUACCCUUGGGGCGGGAAUAACCCAGCGAAAGUUGGGCUAAUACCGGAUAAGACCACAAGAGGAAACCCUAGAGGUCAAAGGCAGCUCUCUUUUGGGGGGCGGCCCUUCGAGGAGGAGCUCAUGUCCUAUCAGCAGUUGGUAGGGUAACGGCCUACCAAGGCGAAGACGGGUAGCUGGUCUUAGAGGA
This 288-nucleotide ribosomal RNA is filed under the name uncultured bacterium. RNAcentral describes it as "partial 16S ribosomal RNA". It matches the Rfam family "Bacterial small subunit ribosomal RNA", at positions 29 to 300 of the family's 1533-position model. The record is from RNAcentral.